GAUGAACGCUAGCUACAGGCUUAACACAUGCAAGUCGAGGGGAAACGACAUCGAAAGCUUGCUUUUGAUGGGCGUCGACCGGCGCACGGGUGAGUAACGCGUAUCCAAUCUGCCCACCACUUGGGGAUAACCUUGCGAAAGUAAGACUAAUACCCAAUGAUAUCUCUAGAAGACAUCUGAAAGAGAUUGAAGAUUUAUCGGUGAUGGAUGGGGAUGCGUCUGAUUAGCUUGUUGGCGGGGUAACGGCACACCAAGGCAACGAUCAGUAGGGGAUCUGAGAGGAAGGUCCCCCGCAUUGGAGCUGAGACACGGACCACACUCCUACGGGAGGCAGCAGUGAGGAAUAUUGGUCAAUGGACGAGAGUCUGACCCAGCCAAGUAGCGUGCAGGAAGACGGCCCUAUGGGUUGUAAACUGCUUUUAUAAGGGAAUAAAGUGAGUCUCGUGAGACUUUUUGCAUGUACCUUAUGAAUAAGGACCGGCUAAUUCCGUG
Molecule: ribosomal RNA, 492 nt
Filed under: uncultured bacterium
Lineage: Bacteria
Description: partial 16S ribosomal RNA
Rfam family: Bacterial small subunit ribosomal RNA
Source: RNAcentral